RNAcentral lists this ribosomal RNA (485 nucleotides) under uncultured bacterium. RNAcentral describes it as "bacterial SSU rRNA". It matches the Rfam family "Bacterial small subunit ribosomal RNA", at positions 30 to 507 of the family's 1533-position model. The record is from RNAcentral.
AUUGAACGCUAGCGGCAUGCCUUACACAUGCAAGUCGAACGGCAGCACGGGGGGCAACCCUGGUGGCGAGUGGCGAACGGGUGAGUAAUGCAUCGGAACGUGCCCAUCGAUGGGGGAUAACUGCGCGAAAGCGUUGCUAAUACCGCAUACGACCUACGGGUGAAAGCAGGGGACCGCAAGGCCUUGCGUCGAUGGAGCGGCCGAUGCCGGAUUAGCUAGUUGGUGAGGUAAAGGCCUACCAAGCCUACGAUCAGUAGCUGGUCUGAGAGGAUGAUCAGCCACAUUGGGACUGAGACACGGCCCAAACUCCUACGGGAGGCAGCAGUGGGGAAUCUUGGACAAUGGGCGAAAGCCUGAUCCAGCAAUGCCGCGUGUGGGAAGAAGGCCUUCGGGUUGUAAACCACUUUUGGCGGGAAAGAAAUGGUCUGUGCUAAUACCACGGAUUGAUGACGGUACCCGCAGAAUAAGCACCGGCUAACUACGUG